AUGGUAUCUUCAAACUUAGAUAGUCCAUCUUAGCCAUCUUUAGCUCCCGGUUUUUUUGGACUAUCCAAACAACAAAAUGCUUC
This 83-nucleotide small RNA is filed under the name Candidatus Pelagibacter ubique HTCC1062. RNAcentral's name for it is "rhtB sRNA". It matches the Rfam family "rhtB sRNA". The record is from Rfam by way of RNAcentral. Lineage: Bacteria; Pseudomonadati; Pseudomonadota; Alphaproteobacteria; Candidatus Pelagibacterales; Candidatus Pelagibacteraceae.